This 402-nucleotide ribosomal RNA is filed under the name uncultured bacterium. RNAcentral describes it as "bacterial SSU rRNA". It matches the Rfam family "Bacterial small subunit ribosomal RNA", at positions 29 to 415 of the family's 1533-position model. The record is from RNAcentral.
AACGAACGCUGGCGGCGUGGAUAAGACAUGCAAGUCGAACGGGAUUACUUUUGUAGCAAUACAGAAGUAAUUCAGUGGCGAACGGGUGCGUAACACGUGGGCAAUCUGCCGAAAAGUGGGGGAUAGCUCGCCGAAAGGCGAAUUAAUACCGCAUGUGGUGAGGGACGACAUCUUCCUGAAUCCAAAGCCGGGGCGAACCUGGCGCUUUUUGAGGAGCCCGCGGCCUAUCAGCUUGUUGGUGAGGUAACGGCUCACCAAGGCUUUGACGGGGUAGCUGGUCUGAGAGGACGACCAGUCACACUGGAACUGAGACACGGUCCAGACACCUACGGGUGGCAGCAGUCGAGAAUUUUUCUCAAUGGGGAAACCCUGAAGGAGCGACGCCGCGUGGAGGAUGGAAGG